AAAUAGAACUUUGCAGAGAGAGUUAACAGGGCGUGAAACCGUUAAUUGGCAAACGAAUCGGAGCCACGAAGUCGUUUCGUUGUUUAGUCGGGACUAGGUUCAGCGAGCAAGAGAUUGCUCGUUUAUUCCUGUGUCUGGCCAAACCUUGUAAGCGUACACUGCAACCAGUUAGACGAUUAACCAUGGAUUUAGUUGCCACGCGAGGGGUUAAACCCUCAAAUGGUAAUGCAACAUUUGUUUAGCCAAGUUAGUAGUAGUGCUGUGCGCCCUUGUGGUGCAUUGGUGUUGCUGGACUUGCGCUAAGUGAACUAUGGCUAAAUACUGACUGGCAAAAUGAAAAUCGCCCACGAGGCGUGCUAAAUAACGCUGCUUGUAGUACAAGUGUCUACACACUCAGCUGCUAGGUCUUAAGCUCAGCAUUUUUAAAUUCAGACCUGCUUGCUACCAGUGGGGCAACUCCUGGUGCUUGUAUGGCUUCUGUCUAAUUGGGUGUUGACUUGGCCUGGUAUCGUCUUGGGUGUGCUACGAUCGGGCGCCUGUACUAGCGAGUACGCUAUUUAAUUGGCAGUGAGUAGGUCGGCUUUCCGAACGACCCGUCUUGAAACACGGACCAAGGAGUCUAAUUAGGCAUCGAGUCGAUCGGUCUUGAAUAGGCCAGACUGGAAGAUUGCUCGCAAUCUUCCGAUUGAAGGCGCAGAGAAAUCAAAUCAUGUGAUCCUUGCGGGCAACAACAGCCCCCUGGCGCAACAUGUGCCUGUUCGUAUAGCAUUGUUGCAAAACAUGCUGAGCGGAGUCAGGAGAUGCCUGAUUGGGACCCGAAAGAUGGUGAACUAUGCUUGGGCAAAUUGAAGCCAGAGGAAACUCUGGUGGAGGAUUGUAGCGAUUCUGACGUGCAAAUCGAUCGUCAGACCUGAGUAUAGGGGCGAAAGACUAAUCGAACCAUC
Molecule: ribosomal RNA, 944 nt
Filed under: Vittacus shaoguanicus
Lineage: Eukaryota; Metazoa; Arthropoda; Arachnida; Trombidiformes; Eriophyidae
Description: eukaryotic LSU rRNA
Rfam family: Eukaryotic large subunit ribosomal RNA
Source: RNAcentral